GAUGAACGCUGGCGGCGUGCUUAACACAUGCAAGUCGAACGGAAAGGCGCUGCUGUUGUGCCUUGCUCGGGUGGCGAACGGGUGAGUAAGACGUGAGUAACCUGUCCUUGACGGUGGGAUAACUGCAGGAAACUGGGGCGAAUAGGGGAUAUCAGCUGCUGCUGCGUGGUGGGGGUUGGAAAGUGUCGGUGGGUGGGGAUGGUCUCGCGGCUUAUCAGCUUGUUGGUGUGGUGGUGGCUUACCAAGGCUUUGAGGGGUAGCCGGCCUGGGAGGGUGGCCGGCCACAUUGGGACUGAGAUACGGCCCAGACUCCUACGGGAGGCAGCAGUGGGGAAUAUUGCAGAAUGGGGGGACGACUGAUGCCGCAAAGCUGCGUGCGGAAUGACGGCCUUCGGGUUGUAAACAGCUUUUGCAUGUGACGAAGCGUGAAUGACGGUAAUGGGUAAAGAAGCAACGGCUAACUACGUG
Molecule: ribosomal RNA, 468 nt
Filed under: uncultured bacterium
Lineage: Bacteria
Description: partial 16S ribosomal RNA
Rfam family: Bacterial small subunit ribosomal RNA
Source: RNAcentral